This 3193-nucleotide long non-coding RNA is filed under the name Sus scrofa (pig). Its description in RNAcentral is "lncRNA (ENSSSCG00000056337.1)". Lineage: Eukaryota; Metazoa; Chordata; Mammalia; Artiodactyla; Suidae. The record is from RNAcentral.
AUAAGAAUCUAAAUUGAUGAGGAAUAUCUUGCAUUCAGUGUAUUUAGAUACAGUUUUUUGAAUUUUCUGAAGUGAUGUGAUCUGCUUUUAAUAAAUUCAAUUUUAGGUAUGUAACAAAUGGAAAUGAAAUGCUCUUUUUAAUCUGGAUUCUCAAAUUCUUCUAAAGGGUGUAUUAUUUUGAUGAAGCCCCAACUCAGUGGAUUUUAUUCGUCUGCUGCUUUCUAGCGUUCUGGCAAAGCUGGCUCCAUCUACAAUAUGAUGUCUAAGAACAAAAUUGGGGUGAAAAGUGGGUCCUAAAUUGUUCACAUACUUAAGGUGCCGAUUCUUGGUCCGUCUCUCCUUGGACUAAGCCUUAGGGUUGGUUGCUACAGUCAUAUAUGAGUUAAUCUAUCAACUUUACAACAAAGUACAAAUAGGAUUCCUUCCAUCAAAACCAUUGAUGAACAUAAAACUUCGGAGAAUCUUUGUCCCAAGGUUCAGCUAUAUGGAACAGAGUUGGUAUUUACAGGAAAGUAAUGAGAUUGCCCUGUGUUGGUGUGGAAAUGAUUCGCUUCUGAACACAGUGAUUCAUUCCUGUGCAAAGCCUGGAGGAGCUCUUUAGUCCCACAAGAGAGGGGCCCUUGCUUAGAGGGGCCCAUUCUUAACCUCUUCCCACUCUGUCUCAGUAGCCAGGAACCUAGAAUUCCCUGCCCAGCUGUUCUGCACCCACUUUUAGGGUGUGUGCACCUCUUCUAGGGGUAUACACUCCUGAAAGCAGGCAGCAUCAUGAGUGCACACCCUUGAACACAAGAGGUGGCAAAAAGUGAUGUGUGUAGAUAAGUUAGUGAUUUGGGCCUGGAAGUAUAUGCUGGGAAAUUCACAGGCAUGUGAGAAGAGGCUCCUUGCAGUGAAAACCAGAGCUCAAGAAUGGAAAAGAAGGGACUAAUGGGUGGAUGAGAGAUAAAGCAGGGCUCCCUCAGGGCUGGGAUCCAGUGCAGAACUCUGAGCAAUCUAAAGGCUCUGAAAUUAUACCUGGUUUCCAGUUGUUAUCAAGAACUUGUGUCAAGGCAGCAGAGUGGAACAUAGCAUUAUUUAACAGUAUAUUUGCUUGAUGUAUAAUUAAUAUUUAGACACAUGGCAUAUGAGCUUCCAUUGGUCCUUUUGUGCUGGCCCCUCCCUGGUUGGUCAGCCUGGAGAUGAACAUUGCAUAAGGUGCCCUUGAGUCAAAUCACUAAGUUGGUACAAAUUCACCCAGGUACAGAUCGGAAGAAGGCAUGUGGGCACAGUUCAACAGUUCUUAUAGUCAGUGCUCCACCUCACUUUUGCUCCAGCCUGUAGCCUUACUGUAUACAAGAAGGUCGGAUGGACUAGGGGCAGCUGUGAGAAAACAUAUCAUCUUCACACUCCACAGGCAAUUAUCCAGUGUUACUAGAUGUAAAGACCCCCGUACUCAGAGAUAGCAUGCCCUGUGCUCUGUGGGAGAUGGGUUGUUGCACUUCACCUGUUGUUAAAUGCUAAAUAAAAUACUUAUUUAACAGUUUCUCUGAUCACAGGAUUGUACAGAAUAUGUGAGAACUUUGAACUACAUGUUCUGUCUAUUUGUCAUGUGUUAGAGUCUAUCCGUGUAUGAUCUGGUGCAAUUUAAAGCUUCAGCUUCAGACGUCUGAACUAGAAUUCCUUUCCCACCACUUUUGUUCCCAUUAUUUAUCCAUAAGGAUGACAAUGGCGGCAGCAACUAAGCUACAUCUUUAAAAAAUCUGAAUAACUGGAUAAAACUCUGUUUUUUUUUUUUUUUAAGAAAACCUGACUAGACAGCCUUAAUGAUAUAGAGGAAUGUAGAGGAAUGGAUAGAUAGGGAGCACUCCUAGAGCUUGGAUCCAAAUAUCUAGUUGUGAGCAAUUCUUUUUUUUUCCCUCAGGAAAUCAGGACUACAUUCUCAUCAAUUUUCUAAUAAAUAUCCAGUGUCCAUUUGGCACAAAUAUUCUGACAGUUCUGACCAUUUCCAUGUAAAAGAAUUUUUCACUUUAUAUUUUCACUUUUUUACACCAAAAGUAGUUUUACCUUUUAGAUACCUAAAAUAGUUGCCAAUAAAUUCCCAGCAGAAACUGCACAUAAACAUAAUGUGAUGUCAGAAAGAUUGAGAAUGCCAACUAUUAUAUUUUGAAUUUUCACCAACAAUCUUGGAAACAUGGAGAAUUUUCACUCUUUACAACACUGAGUAAGGUGUGAAUGACAUUUUACCAUCUUCAUUUUGCAUCUAAAGAAUCAACUAAGAAACAGACAUAUCUCUUGCAUAAAUCAUGUUCGUAUAUGUAACCAGAAAUGGGAAAAUAAUAUUUGUGAAAAACAUGUUAAUAGUGAAAAAUGCAGUUAUUUGAGAUCUAUCAUGGCAGAAAAAUUCUACCCAUAAAACAUUUUUAGAGCAGGUCCUGAAACAAAUCUACCAAGGAGACCUAAAUGAUUUUAGAAAGUGUUGUUUAGAUUUAUACAGUUGAGCAUUUAACAAAUACUGGAAUUCAUCCUCUGCCUUUUCCCAUCACCCAAGAGCUCUUUUAAAUUGAUGAUUGAAUUAAAAUGGAGUAGUGACAUUUAAAAUUAUGUAAUGUUUUUAUUAACCUGAAAUGAUAGCUGAUAAAAUGGGCCUUGAUAUUCUGCAAGACCUAAUUGUGUUCACACUAAAGAUUUAGCUAGGCUGGCUGGAGCAAACUGCAGAGAAUUGGAAGUAAAAAUAAUAUCAUUUUCUUAAGCUAGUCUCUUUUUUUUUUUUUUUUUUUUUUUUUUAGAGAUGUCACUUUUAACUGUUAUUUAAUUAGCGAACAGUGCAUUCCGUGGGGGGGGGGGGAACCCUAACUAGAAGAGAGAAAAAAAAUAAUAACUACCCCUCCUACAUCUGUCUGAACAGACACUGAAAUUCCUGCAUGGCGAGGAUGUGUCAAGUUAUGUUAAAGACGUAAUGUACCAUGUGUGUAUCCGCCAGCCACCCUGCCCUGAUAGUGCGCAUUAUGGCUUUGCUCUUACCGGGGGAAGUCAUUCUAAUCUAAUAAAAGAAGGAAAAUGGCAGAAAAUCGCACACCUGAAGUCCUGUUAAGAAUAGGUGAUUCUUUUUGCCCCAGGCAGGCAAGAACAUAAUGUCAUUUUUGUUCAUUUGUAUUUUGCUCUGAAGGAGGGUCUGCUCCUGUGGGGGAAUGAUUUUCCCUCUACCCGUGUGAAACUC